Molecule: small RNA, 28 nt
Filed under: Bombyx mori (domestic silkworm)
Lineage: Eukaryota; Metazoa; Arthropoda; Insecta; Lepidoptera; Bombycidae
Description: ovarian small RNA-25250
Source: RNAcentral
UCACGAGGUGGGCAUCCGCAGGCGGCUU